Molecule: ribosomal RNA, 253 nt
Filed under: uncultured bacterium
Lineage: Bacteria
Description: partial 16S ribosomal RNA
Rfam family: Bacterial small subunit ribosomal RNA
Source: RNAcentral
UACGUAGGAGGCAAGCGUUGUCCGGAAUUACUGGGCGUAAAGCGCGUGUAGGUGGUGGGACAAGUCUGCUGUGAAAUCGCCCGGCUCAACUGGGCGGGGUCGGUGGAAACUGGUCACCUGGAGGACGGUAGAGGCGAGUGGAAUUCCCGGUGUAGUGGUGAAAUGCGUAGAGAUCGGGAGGAACACCAGUGGCGAAGGCGGCUCGCUGGGCCGGCCCUGACGCUGAGACGCGAAGGCGUGGGGAGCGAACGGG